GGGACGAGAAGACCCCAUAGAGUUUUAUAAUUUAUUUAUUGAUAGUUAUUAGUAAAUAAAAAAUUUUUAAUUAUUAUAAAUUAUUUUAUUGGGGGUGAUAGAAAAAUAAAAAUAACUUUUUUUAAAAAGGGAACAUAAAUAAGUGAAUAAAUGAUCCAAUUUUAUUGAUUAUAAGAAAAAAUUACCUUAGGGAUAACAGCGU
This 202-nucleotide ribosomal RNA is filed under the name Eilema griseolum. Its description in RNAcentral is "partial large subunit ribosomal RNA". The record is from RNAcentral. Lineage: Eukaryota; Metazoa; Arthropoda; Insecta; Lepidoptera; Erebidae.